AGGAUCAUUAUUGAAUUACCGGCGAGGGUUGUAGCUGGCCUUUCGGGGCACGUGCACGCCCGAGCCCUUAAUCCACACACACUUGUGAACCUAAUGUAAGGGCCUGUAAAAAGGGUCCCUACGUCUCAUUUCAUCGACGCAUGUCUCAUAGAAUGUAAAAUCGAUAUCUUCGCCUUAAAAAAGCGUCGGUAAACUUAUACAACUUUCAACAACGGAUCUCUUGGCUCUCGCAUCGAUGAAGAACGCAGCGAAAUGCGAUAAGUAAUGUGAAUUGCAGAUUUUCAGUGAAUCAUCGAAUCUUUGAACGCACCUUGCGCUCCUUGGUAUUCCGAGGAGCAUGCCUGUUUGAGUGUCAUUAAAUACCUCAACCCCGAUGGAUUUGUUUCUUUCGGGGCUUGGACUUUGGAGCGUGCUGGCGCGAGUCGGCUCCUCUCAAAUGCAUCAGCGGAAAUCAAUCUUUGGCUUUCGGACUUCAGUGUGAUAAUCACGUUGCGCUGUGGCACGAGCCUCAAGGUCCGCUUACAAUGGUCUUUGGACGAUUUCAUCGAAUUUGACCUCAAAUCAGGUAGGACUACCCGCUGAACUUAAGCAUAUCAAUA
This 599-nucleotide ribosomal RNA is filed under the name uncultured fungus. RNAcentral describes it as "eukaryotic LSU rRNA". The stretch from base 201 to 355 matches the Rfam family "5.8S ribosomal RNA". Lineage: Eukaryota; Fungi. The record is from RNAcentral.